CUGCUGCCUCCCGUAGGAGUUCGGACCGUGUCUCAGUUCCAAUGUGGGGGACCUUCCUCUCAGAACCCCUACGCAUCGUCGGCUUGGUGGGCCGUUGCCCCACCAACUACCUAAUGCGCCGCAUGCCCAUCCAUGACCGGGGUCGCCCCCUUUGACCGGCAGGGGAUGUCCCCUCCCGGCAUUAUGUUGUAUUAGGCGGGAUUUCUCCCGGUUAUCCAUCUGUCACGGCCAGGUUGCAUACGUGUUACUCACCCGUGCGCCGGUCGCCGGCGG
Molecule: ribosomal RNA, 273 nt
Filed under: uncultured bacterium
Lineage: Bacteria
Description: partial 16S ribosomal RNA
Source: RNAcentral